GUGUUAUGUUCUAAAAAGAUGAAGGAGGUUAAGUGAAAAUGUGAGAUUAAAACACCUAACUAAAAAAAAUGCCCAGUAUGUGUGUGUGGGUGUAUGUUCGAUCGAGAGAGAGAAGCCAGGAGGAACUUCUCCUUCAUAACCCUAGUCCUUCAAUUCCCCACAAAAUUGAAGGAGUAAAAGGCUGAGAUUUCAAUGCAUGAGCUAGGAAUCAUGAUUCCCUAAGUGUUAUAAGUGUCAAGAACAAAGAAGGAAGAAGGAGCAAGUCACUCCAAAGCGCAAGGAACCCAAGACCACGGUAAAUCUCUUGCUUGAUUGCGGCGCACUCGGACCGAACACACAAUGUCGACUUUUUACACGCUUCCGGUUCAAGUUGUCUAUUAUGUAUGGGUCAAAGUUUUUAUUUUGUGAUAUGGUGUUAAACUUGUAUUUAGUAUGUUAGUAUGUAGUUUGGAUUUCUAAACCUUUUGUAUAGGUUGUACAAAAUGUUUAUGGUGAACCUUAUAUGGUCACCACUUUGCUA
Molecule: long non-coding RNA, 520 nt
Organism: Helianthus annuus (common sunflower)
Lineage: Eukaryota; Viridiplantae; Streptophyta; Magnoliopsida; Asterales; Asteraceae
Exons: 3
Source: RefSeq, a predicted model, not a curated record